CUUGGAGAACGUCAAUUGGCCCUGAUGGGGACCCGUAGGGAAAAGUUCUUUAAGGAAAGGGGGGCCAGAAUGGAGUUGGGGCCCCCCCGAGGAGUUGCGGCAAAACUCAGUCAAGGCGGGGAGGGUCGGAUCUAAGCGGCCAUGGCAGUAGGGCACCAGAAAGCAGGGAGCGUAGCGCUCAGGAGGAACCAAGAAAGCCUGGCCGAGCCAGCUCCGUGGAGGCCUCGGAGACCCUUGAGACUUUCUUCCUCCAGCAGCUGCACAGAUGAGGCUGCUUGUGUCCACCCGUCGCGUUGCUUUUGGAAGACGUGUGGGAGAGUGUCUCGGAGGGUUAAAAGCUGUGCAAGUUACGGGGCUCCCUUGGAGGACUCCGGAGGACCCACAGUCGUUCCGCCUCUGGCCCCUGCGCUCGCGAGUAAUUUGACGUUGAAAGCUUUCGUGAGAUUACACACUGCUCCGUGGAAACGACUCUUAAAGUGUGAAUUGGCUUCCCUCCGUCUCGAUUCUUGUAUCGGAGCUCCUGCUAGUGGGGGUGUCGUGUGUUGAGGGACCUGUGAGAUCCUACACCUGAUAGUCGGGGGCUUAGAUGUUGUGGUUGGAGACACCCAGCUAAAACAAAGCCCCGUGUAGACUCCUCUGUGGAGUGCAGGGAAGGCAGCGGACUGUAGUCUGAAGGAGUAGCGAUGACAAGGAGGAUGUGGCUCCUGGUUGGAUCUAGAAAAGGGGACAUCUUUGGGGCGAAAGCACAAGCGGCCUUUUGAAAAUGAAUGGGUGAUGAUGAAAGAGCAUUCCAGAGAAGACUGCGUGGAGCAAGGGCUCAAGAGGAAGUGGGUAUCAUACUGGGAGUUCAAUGAAGAGAGCAGUCUAACUGAAAUGGGGAAAGAAAGGAAAAAAAAGGACAAGUGAAAAGUAAGGUUCAAUAAAUAGGAUGGGGAAUUGUAAAUUUUUUUUCUUUUUUUUUUUUGCGGUACGCGGUCCUCUCACUGUCGUGGCCUCUCCCGCUGCGGAGCACAGACUCCAGACGCGCAGGCUCAGCGGCCAUGGCUCACGGGCCCAGCCGCUCCGCGGCAUGUGGGAUCUUCUCGGAUCGGGGCACGAACCCAUGUGCCCUUCAUCAGCAGGCGGACUCUCAACCACUGCGCCACCAGGGAAGCCCGAGCCACAGCUCUUGAAGCCCACAUGCCUAGAGCCCGUGCUCUGCAACAAGAGAAGCCACCGCAUUGAGAAGCCCGCGCACCGCAACGAAGAGUAGGCUCCGCUCACCACUAGAGAAAGCCCGUGCAUGCAACGAAGUCCCAACACAGCCAAAAAUAAAUAAAUAAAUAAAAAGACAGUGGUAGGAACAGACGUGGAGAGAGGGGGCGAUAGGUAAUUUGGAGGAGGAGUUUGGUUCAAGGGUGGGGGGCAGAAAAGUGGGGUAAAACUUCAAGCAAUAGGUAGGGUCAAAAGAGUAGUUUCUAAUUAUUUACAUCCACAAAUAUUUUAGUAUUUCUAAAAGAUAAUAUUUUUUUAAUAAAUAUAACCUCAAGGCCAUUAUCACACUUGAAAAAUUAACAGUACAGUCGUCCCUCGGUAUCCAUGGGGGAUUGGUUCCAGAACCUGCAGCAGAUACCAAAAUUCACAUGUGCUCAAGUCCCACAGUCAGCCCUCUGAAUCCAAGGUUCCACAUCUGUGGAUUUAACCAACCUCAGAUCGUAUACUACUGUAUGUAUUUACUGAAAAAAAUCCAUGUGUAAAUGGACCCACGCAGUUCAACUGUAAUAACUAGUAUUAUCACUACCCUGUCAAUCUUCAAAUUUCCCUAAUUAUCUCAUAAUUUUUUUGCUACCAGGUGGAUUGAGGUAUAAUUAGUAUACCGUACAGUUCACCCAUUUAAAGUAAUGCAUUCAAAGGGUUGCACAAUCAUCACCACAGUACAGUUUAGAACGUUUUCAUCACUCCAAAAAGAAACCCUAUGCUCAGUAGUAGUCACUACCCAGCCCUAGGCAACCACUAAUCAACUUUUUGUCUAUAGACUGGCCUAUUCUGAACAUUUUAUGUAAAUGGAAUCAUGCAGUAUAUGACUGGCUUCUUAAGCAUGUUUUGAAGGUUCAUCUAUACUGUAGCAUGUAAUAUUACUUCAUUCCUUUUUAUCGUCAAAUAAAAUUCUAUUUUAUAUAUA
Orcinus orca (killer whale) is the source of this 2161-nucleotide long non-coding RNA. RefSeq lists it as uncharacterized. The record is from RefSeq and is a predicted model, not a curated record. The transcript is spliced from 2 exons. NCBI's taxonomy places the organism in Eukaryota, Metazoa, Chordata, Mammalia, Artiodactyla, Delphinidae.